UCUCUGGUGGUCCAGUGGUUAGGACGCCACACUGCCAAUGCGGGGGGCCUGGGUUCGAUCCCUGGUCGGGGAA
This is a non-coding RNA of Lagenorhynchus albirostris (white-beaked dolphin), 73 nucleotides long. The record is from the annotation of a RefSeq genome assembly. NCBI's taxonomy places the organism in Eukaryota, Metazoa, Chordata, Mammalia, Artiodactyla, Delphinidae.